RNAcentral lists this signal recognition particle RNA (264 nucleotides) under Clostridia bacterium. RNAcentral describes it as "signal recognition particle sRNA large type". It matches the Rfam family "Bacterial large signal recognition particle RNA". Rfam says of the family: The signal recognition particle (SRP) is a universally conserved ribonucleoprotein involved in the co-translational targeting of proteins to membranes. Archaeal SRP consists of a 7S RNA and homologues of the eukaryotic SRP19 and SRP54 proteins. Lineage: Bacteria; Bacillati; Bacillota; Clostridia. The record is from RNAcentral.
UCGUGCUAUAUGGGGAGCUAGCGGUGCCCUGUAACCUGCAAUCCGCUACAGCAGGAUAGAUCACCCACCGAGGCUAACUUUAUGGAAAGCCGACGUACGCAAGGAAUGUUGAUACCAAGGUCUUGUGCAAUUUCUGGUUGUGAACCGUGUCAGAUCUUGACAGCAUCAGCACUAAGCAAUUUAAGGAAUGUGACACGAGGUAGCUUUGGAGGAGUCACCUACGUGCGAGCCGAUUCGGUAGAUUUAGUCGGAGUGGGCGCACAC